UUAAGUUCAGCGGGUAUUCCUACCUGAUCCGAGGUCAACCUUUUAGAAUUGGGGUGUUUUACGGCAGGGGACCGGCCCAACUACAGACGAGAUGAAAUCUACUACGUCUAGAGUAUGAAACCGACUCCGCCACUAACUUCGGGGGGCUACGCGCAAACGUAGGCCCCCAACGCUAAGCAACUAGGGCUUAAGGGUUGAAA
Molecule: unclassified non-coding RNA, 200 nt
Filed under: Xylaria sp.
Lineage: Eukaryota; Fungi; Ascomycota; Sordariomycetes; Xylariales; Xylariaceae
Description: partial internal transcribed spacer 2
Source: RNAcentral